Molecule: non-coding RNA, 86 nt
Filed under: Giesbergeria anulus
Lineage: Bacteria; Pseudomonadati; Pseudomonadota; Betaproteobacteria; Burkholderiales; Comamonadaceae
Source: RNAcentral
CUGUAUGGUGGGCCGUGUGGGGACGCCUGUGAGGGCGUGCCGGUUCCAAGUGCCGGUCUUCCGACCUCACACGGUCUGCCACCCAU